This is a long non-coding RNA of Cavia porcellus (domestic guinea pig), 1560 nucleotides long. RefSeq lists it as uncharacterized. The record is from RefSeq and is a predicted model, not a curated record. NCBI's taxonomy places the organism in Eukaryota, Metazoa, Chordata, Mammalia, Rodentia, Caviidae. The transcript has 2 exons.
AAUGGGAGGAAGGAGACCUGCUACGAGGGGUUCACUACUCUCUUUUGUUCCUUUUUCUUGUUCUCUCUUACACGUCAGCACAUCAGCACAGCGUCCUCACACCAGGGAAAUUCCCCCAACCGCCCAGCGGUCCUUCUCAAGGUAAGAAGCAGAGGCUGCUGCGUCCUGGGCCAGGGAUGCUCGCAGAAGCCGGGUCUCUGACAACCUCUGGGCCCAUGCGAGGUUUUCCGACAGGACAGUGGUUGCGGGUCAGCGUGGGUGGAAGCAGAGGUUGCAGAGAAGAGCCCGGGGCCGCGCUGCCAGCAUAGGGCGCCCACCUGGAAACAGGCGGCCUUUCUGGAGUCCAGCAGGCUCAGGCCCUGCGGUGAACGGACGGAGGGAAGGAGCGGUGGACUGACUCCGCGGGGCCCUUCAGCUGCCACCGCCAGGCUAAGUAAGCCCUAAGAAGACCAAAGAGCGAUCAAAACUCCUACCUCCACCUUCUGAACACGCCCAGGGCUGCCAGAGCUCGGAGCUGUGACGCUGGGGUUUUGUUCCGCUUCACCCAAUCUUCCCUAGCAGUCUGGAGGUGGGGCGGGAGCUGAAGGUGGAAACUUCCCAGGUAGGUGGAAACUUCCUCCUUAAUGGAAGUCUCCAGGGUCCAGCCGUGGGCCCCGUGUGCAGCGCGAAGUCUCCGCCCCAGAGGCUGCCAGCGGGCCAGGAGCGCUCCACUGAUCCCUGCGGAGCCGCGGACACAGGGGGUCGGUGUCUGCAGGCGCCUGCGGGCGGCCUGUCCGGGUCUCUGUCUCUGUUUUCCAGAGGAGGGAAAGUAGGAACGGUGUGGUCAAUUACAACUUUUUUCUCCGUGGCUCCUAUUAGGACUUCUUAAAAAUUAGUAUUCAGAUGCAAAGCUGGGGUGUUCCCGCCUGGAGUCUGCCUAGCAGGGUUCCCUGGCUCUGCAGCCUGGCUCUGUCUGGCAGAGGCUUUCCCGCCCAGCAGCUCAGGCUGCCUCUAGGCCCAAAGCUAUGGGUUCUCUCUGGGACUUCCGAAGUCCCCAGGGCCAACCACUUCAAGCAACUGCGUCUGAGAAGACUGCGAUCCACCCGUCAUCUCUGCAUCUCAUCUCGACCCAAGACAGCAGCCCCAGAUCAGCCAAGGCGCUGUGAGCCAUGUGUGCCCACGCGGGUGCCGCCCUCGGCGCCCCGCCUGGCACUCCUUCCCGUGCGACUCUGGGGAGGACAGAGAGACUCCCGUGAGCCAGCACGGGGGGAUCCUCGCGUUUCCUGAUUUGAUAAGGCAGAAUCUGGGAGCACCCGGCUGGUGGUUUUGGGGGUGGGCCCAGGGAAGCAGCUCUGGGCCUCGGAUUGUGGAUGGGGGAAGAGGAUACACAUCUUAAAGAUAGACCUCAAGUUCACCCCCAAAACGAGGUUCGCCUUUCCCCGGGCUCCUGCCAGACUGCCGAGGACCGCGGGCGGAAUGCAGCGGAGGAGGGGGCCUCUCCAGAAGCCCAGAAGAUGCUGGUGCAAUGCUCUCAGAUCUCUAGAAUUGUGAGCUAAAUAAACACCUCUGCUUUGUAAAUCA